RNAcentral lists this ribosomal RNA (431 nucleotides) under uncultured bacterium. RNAcentral's name for it is "partial 16S ribosomal RNA". It matches the Rfam family "Bacterial small subunit ribosomal RNA", at positions 29 to 507 of the family's 1533-position model. The record is from RNAcentral.
AACGAACGCUGGCGGCAGGCCUAACACAUGCAAGUCGAGCGCCCUUUCGGGGGAGCGGCGGACGGGUGUGUAACGCGUGGGAAUAUGCCCUUCUCUACGGAAUAGCCUCGGGAAACUGAGAGUAAUACCGUAUACGCCCUUUGGGGGAAAGAUUUAUCGGGGAAGGAUUAGCCCGCGUUGGAUUAGGUAGUUGGUGGGGUAAUGGCCUACCAAGCCGACGAUCCAUAGCUGGUUUGAGAGGAUGAUCAGCCACACUGGGACUGAGACACGGCCCAGACUCCUACGGGAGGCAGCAGUGGGGAAUCUUAGACAAUGGGGGCAACCAUGAUCUAGCCAUGCCGCGUGAGUGAUGAAGGCCUUAGGGUUGUAAAGCUCUUUCAGCUGGGAAGAUAAUGACGGUACCAGCAGAAGAAGCCCCGGCUAACUCCGUG